Molecule: long non-coding RNA, 517 nt
Filed under: Brassica napus (rape)
Lineage: Eukaryota; Viridiplantae; Streptophyta; Magnoliopsida; Brassicales; Brassicaceae
Description: long non-coding RNA (BNAP_LNC007734)
Source: RNAcentral
AUUAGUUGCUUUUUGUUUGCUUUAGGGAAAUUGGCACACAUAUACAUAACCAACAACAAAAUUAAUUCUCUACACAUAACAACUCUUAAGCUAUGAUAUUUGUGUAAUAAUUACCAUAUUACCCUUUACCACAUUUACUUGAACAUUUUUUUUGUUGAUUUUUCUUCUUCUUACAAAUAUGUUUCUCCCUUCUCUUUUUAAUUGAUUUCAACUUCUGAUAUAACACUUAUUAACCUUUGUAUUUUACAUAUUAAAAACAUAGAUUUUUUUCUUCACAUAAAAUGUUUUGAAACUUUCAAAACAGAUUUAUAUUUUAUAAAUUUUAUAAGAUAUUUCAUUAACGCGAUUUUAAUUAUAUACUAUCAUAAACAUACAGUAUAGAUUCAUCUAUCUAUCUCUCUAUAUAUCUCUCUCUCUCUCUCCCCGUCUCCCUCUCUCUCUCCCUCUGACUCUUUCUCUCUCUCUCCCUCUCCCCUCUCCCUCUCUCUCCUUUCCUCUCUCCCUCCCUCCCUCCCUC